AAGUCGAACGAGUCUCUGGGGGGUAACUCCUAGAGGAAAGUGGCGAAAGGGGCAGUAAUGUAUGGGUAACCUACCUUGAGGUCUGGGAUAGCCAUUCCAACGGAUGGGUAAUACUGGACGGCCUGAGUUGUCGGCAUCGAUAAUUUAGUAAAGGUUACGCCUCGAGAGGGGCCCAUAUGAUAUUAGCUAGUUGGUGGGGUAAUGGCCCACCAAGGCAAAGAUGUCUAGCGGGUGUGAGAGCACGACCCGCGUCAUUGGCACUGAGACACUGGCCAAACUCC
RNAcentral lists this ribosomal RNA (281 nucleotides) under unidentified marine bacterioplankton. RNAcentral's name for it is "partial 16S ribosomal RNA". It matches the Rfam family "Bacterial small subunit ribosomal RNA", at positions 59 to 339 of the family's 1533-position model. The record is from RNAcentral.